CUGAAGGAACGUUUAAGACUAAGACGUUGAUAGGCUGGGUGUGUAAGUGCAGCGAUGCAUUGAGCUAACCAGUACUAAUGAUCCGUGAGGCUUAACCUU
This 99-nucleotide ribosomal RNA is filed under the name Serratia marcescens. RNAcentral describes it as "partial 23S ribosomal RNA". It matches the Rfam family "Bacterial large subunit ribosomal RNA", at positions 2827 to 2925 of the family's 2925-position model. RNAcentral also lists the same sequence under 3 other names. The record is from RNAcentral. Lineage: Bacteria; Pseudomonadati; Pseudomonadota; Gammaproteobacteria; Enterobacterales; Yersiniaceae.